AACACCUCAAAGCUUUUGGAUUUUUUAAUCGAAAAGCUUUGGACUUGAGCAAUCCCAACACCAAUCUUUUUGAGAUCGGUGGCGGGUUGCUUGAAAUGCAGGUGCAGCUGGACAUUCUCCUGAGCUAAAAGCAUAUCAAUAAGCGGAGGCU
RNAcentral lists this unclassified non-coding RNA (151 nucleotides) under uncultured fungus. Its description in RNAcentral is "sequence contains ITS2". The record is from RNAcentral. Lineage: Eukaryota; Fungi.